RNAcentral lists this unclassified non-coding RNA (259 nucleotides) under Hevea brasiliensis (rubber tree). The record is from RNAcentral. Lineage: Eukaryota; Viridiplantae; Streptophyta; Magnoliopsida; Malpighiales; Euphorbiaceae.
CCUUGCUUGCUUGUUCAAAAUUUGCAAAAAAUAAUUCAGUACCUCUUAUGCAUUUCCAUUUAAAAUUUAAACUAACUUUAUCCUAUAAGAGUCUAAUUUCUGAUAGCAGUCUAAUCACUGCAAGUCUCUUAAUUACUGUUGAUUACACCUCCAACAUUAAUGACUAUUGCUUAAAUGGCUCCUAUUUGAACAAUUGCAACAUGAAAAUGAACUCCAAGCAAAAGAUUACAAUCAAAACUUAUAACAACUCAAACAAUCG